CCUUUCUGUUGGGUUUAGAGUCUGAAUAACUCAGAUAUUUUGUGCCUCCAUCAACUUCUUCUCUUUUGAUUAUCUACUGAGAUUGGAGUUAAACUAUGGCACUACAUUC
This is a small nucleolar RNA of Tripterygium wilfordii, 109 nucleotides long. RefSeq annotates it as small nucleolar RNA snoR97. The record is from RefSeq and is a predicted model, not a curated record. Lineage: Eukaryota; Viridiplantae; Streptophyta; Magnoliopsida; Celastrales; Celastraceae. The transcript has a single exon.